Molecule: ribosomal RNA, 876 nt
Filed under: Laccaria amethystina
Lineage: Eukaryota; Fungi; Basidiomycota; Agaricomycetes; Agaricales; Hydnangiaceae
Description: LSU rRNA
Rfam family: Eukaryotic large subunit ribosomal RNA
Source: RNAcentral
CCCCUAGUAACUGCGAGUGAAGCGGGAAAAGCUCAAAUUUAAAAUCUGGCAGUCUUUGGCUGUCCGAGUUGUAAUCUAGAGAAGUAUUAUCCGCGCUGGACCGUGUACAAGUCUCCUGGAAUGGGGCGUCAUAGAGGGUGAGAAUCCCGUCUUUGACACGGACUGCCAGGGCUUUGUGAUGUGCUCUCAAAGAGUCGAGUUGUUUGGGAAUGCAGCUCAAAAUGGGUGGUAAAUUCCAUCUAAAGCUAAAUAUUGGCGAGAGACCGAUAGCGAACAAGUACCGUGAGGGAAAGAUGAAAAGAACUUUGGAAAGAGAGUUAAACAGUACGUGAAAUUGCUGAAAGGGAAACGCUUGAAGUCAGUCACGUUGGCCAGGGAUCAACCUUGCUUUUUUGCUUGGCUUACUUUCUGGUUGAUGGGUCAGCAUCAAUUUUGACUGGUGGAAAAAGUUCAAGGGAAUGUGGCAUCUUCGGAUGUGUUAUAGCCUUUGUUCGCAUACAUUGGUUGGGAUUGAGGAACUCAGCACGCCGCAAGGCCGGGUUUUUAACCACGUACGUGCUUAGGAUGCUGGCAUAAUGGCUUUAAUCGACCCGUCUUGAAACACGGACCAAGGAGUCUAACAUGCCUGCGAGUGUUUGGGUGAAAAACCCGAGCGCGUAAUGAAAGUGAAAGUUGAGAUCCCUGUCGUGGGGAGCAUUGACGCCCGGAUCUGACCUUUUGUGACGAUUCUGCGGUAGAGCAUGUAUGUUGGGACCCGAAAGAUGGUGAACUAUGCCUGAAUAGGGUGAAGCCAGAGGAAACUCUGGUGGAGGCUCGUAGCGAUUCUGACGUGCAAAUCGAUCGUCAAAUUUGGGUAUAGGGGCGAAAGACUAAUCU